AUAUCAAUAAGCGGAGGAAAAGAAACUAACAAGGAUUCCCCUAGUAACGGCGAGUGAAGAGGGAAAAGCUCAAAUUUUGAAUCUGGUGUCUUCGACUCCCGAGUUGUAAUCUAGAGAAGUGUUUUCCGCGCUGGACCGUGCAUAAGUUUCCUGGAACACGGCGUCAUAGAGGGUGAGAAUCCCGUAUCUGGCACAGGCCUUCCAGUGCUAUGUGAUACACUCUCAACGAGUCGAGUUGUUUGGGAAUGCAGCUCAAAAUGGGUGGUAAAUUCCAUCUAAAGCUAAAUAUUGGCGAGAGACCGAUAGCGAACAAGUACCGUGAGGGAAAGAUGAAAAGCACUUUGGAAAGAGAGUUAAAAGUACGUGAAAUUGUUGAAAGGGAAACGCUUGAAGUCAGACGUGCGCAGCUUCGGCUAAUGCAGGCUAGCAUCGGUUUUGCGAGUCGGAUAAAGGUAGGGGGAAGGUGGCAGUCUCGGCUGUGUUAUAGCCCCUUACUGAAUACGGAUUGCGAGACCGAGGGAUGCAGCGCGCCGCAAGGCAAAGGGUCCGCCCUUUACGCGCUCAGGAUGCUGGUGAAAUGGCUUUAAACGA
This 591-nucleotide ribosomal RNA is filed under the name uncultured fungus. Its description in RNAcentral is "eukaryotic LSU rRNA". It matches the Rfam family "Eukaryotic large subunit ribosomal RNA", at positions 40 to 647 of the family's 3401-position model. The record is from RNAcentral. Lineage: Eukaryota; Fungi.